This is a non-coding RNA of Camellia sinensis, 210 nucleotides long. The record is from RefSeq and is a predicted model, not a curated record. Lineage: Eukaryota; Viridiplantae; Streptophyta; Magnoliopsida; Ericales; Theaceae.
CUGCGUAUACUUUUCAGAUAUAUGUAAAUUGACCAACAGGGAACCCUUAUAUGGGAAUGUCAUUGAUGCCUUCUCAGAAAAGCAAUUGGCACUCCAACCAACCAUUGAAGAAUUUGAGAAAAACGAUCUAGUCUUUGCAAGCAAUCCAUACGCAGGAAGAUCUUACGUUUUCUCAACACUCAUCAAUACUCCACUACAAAACCAAGAUCA